AUUUGCGUAUUCAAAUAUGCAAAAGUAACAUAGACAAUUAUGCUAUAUAUUCACUUGAAUGUAAGGAUGUAGCAAGUGUAUACACACUAUUAAUGUGUUCCUUGUUUCUCGCCUAUUUGUUGAUAUCUUGUCCUCUUGACAUUUUACUUCACUUCGUUUCUGGCAUCGAGAGCGUGUGGUUUAUAAAAUCUUUAUUGUUAUGGGCCCAGACACAACUACAGUGAAUAAGUAAAGCAUACCUAUAUACAUUUAAUCAAUUCGCGAGUUUUUUUUCUGGAAACGCUUUGACAAAUUAGCCGCAAAUCACCACGUAGCGGCAGGACGGUGUUACAAGAUAGUGCUACUGUUGAGAAACGUUAUUGCUGUAAGAAGUUGCUGGAAAUUGUGGCUGUGAAAUUUGCUUUUGUGUGAUAGAAUCUUACAAUGGAUAAAGGGAAAAGAAAUAUCAAACCGUUUGACGGUGAGAAAUAUUCAAUAUGGAAGUUUAGAAUGAGAGCGUU
Long non-coding RNA from Drosophila ananassae, 500 nucleotides. RefSeq lists it as uncharacterized. The transcript is spliced from 2 exons. NCBI's taxonomy places the organism in Eukaryota, Metazoa, Arthropoda, Insecta, Diptera, Drosophilidae. The record is from RefSeq and is a predicted model, not a curated record.